CGACCCAGUGGCUGGGGAUAACUCGGGGAAACCUGAGCUAAUACCGAAUGAGUUCACGAGGUCCUCGGGCUUUGUGAAGAAAGAGGGGCAACUCUCACCACUGGAUCGGCCCGCGUCCCAUCAGCUUGUUGGUGUGGUAACGGCGCACCAAGGCAACGACGGGUAGCUGGUCUGAGAGGAUGAUCAGUCACACUGGGACUGAGAUACGGCCCAGACUCCUACGGGAGGCAGCAGUGGGGAAUAUUGGACAAUGGGCGAAAGUGAUCCAGCAAUGCCGCGUGUGUGAUGAAGGCCCUAGGGUUGUAAAGCACUGUCGGGAGGGACGAAAAUGGUGGUGUAACGGCCACAACUGACGGUACCUCCUAAGGAAGCACCGGCUAACUCUGUGCCAGCAGCCGCGGUAAUACAGAGGGUGCAAGCGUUGUUCGGAAUCACUGGGCGUAAAGCGCGUGUAGGCGGUUUCGUUAGUCGGAUGUGAAAGCCCCGGGCUCAACCUGGGAACUGCAUCCGAUACUGCGGAACUAGAGUCCCGGAGGGUGGUGGAAUUCCUGGUGUAGAGGUGAAAUUCGUAGAUAUCAGGAGGAACACCCGUGGCGAAGGGACCACCUGGACGGGCACUGACGCUGAGACGCGAAACUGGGGAGCAAACAGGAUUAGAUACCCUGGUAGUCCACGCCGUAAACGAUGGUCACUUGGUG
RNAcentral lists this ribosomal RNA (698 nucleotides) under uncultured bacterium. RNAcentral describes it as "bacterial SSU rRNA". It matches the Rfam family "Bacterial small subunit ribosomal RNA", at positions 125 to 822 of the family's 1533-position model. The record is from RNAcentral.